UACCUUGUUACGACUUGGCAUGGCCGAGAGCUGCCAGCCUGCCGCGGUGCAGGAAGACGGCCUUAUGGGUUGUAAACUGCUUUUUUAUGGGAAUAACCACUCUUACGAGUAAGGGUCUGCAAGUACCAUAAGAAUAAGCAUCGGCUAACUCCGUGCCAGCAGCCGCGGUAAUACGGAGGAUGCAAGCGUUAUCCGGAAUUAUUGGGUUUAAAGGGUGCGUAGGCGGACUAGUAAGUCAGUGGUGAAAUUCUCGGGCUUAACCUGGGACCUGCCAUUGAUACUGCUGGUCUUGAGUGUAGUUGAUGUUGGCGGAAUGUGUCAUGUAGCGGUGAAAUGCAUAGAUAUGACACAGAACACCGAUAGCGAAGGCAGCUGACAAAACUAUAACUGACGCUGAGGCACGAAAGCGUGGGGAUCAAACAGGAUUAGAUACCCUGGUAGUCCACGCCGUAAACGAUGAUCACUAGCUGUAUGCGAUACACUGUAUGUGGCUAAGGGAAACCGAUAAGUGAUCCACCUGGGGAGUACGUCCGCAAGGAUGAAACUCAAAGGAAUUGACGGGGGCCCGCACAAGCGGAGGAGCAUGUGGUUUAAUUCGAUGAUACGCGAGGAACCUUACCUGGGCUUGAACGUAUGGUGCAUGGGUGUGAAAGCAUCCUUUCCAGCAAUGGACUUCAUACGAGGUGCUGCAUGGUUGUCGUCAGCUCGUGCCGUGAGGUGUUAGGUUAAGUCCUGCAACGAGCGCAACCCCUGUUUUUAGUUGCCAUCAGGUUAAGCUGGGCACUCUAGAGAGACUGCCUGCGCAAGCAGAGAGGAAGUGGGGAUGACGUCAAAUCAGCACGGCCCUUACGUCCAGGGCUACACACGUGCUACAAUGGCCCGGUACAGAG
This 890-nucleotide ribosomal RNA is filed under the name uncultured bacterium. Its description in RNAcentral is "bacterial SSU rRNA". It matches the Rfam family "Bacterial small subunit ribosomal RNA", at positions 350 to 1244 of the family's 1533-position model. The record is from RNAcentral.